Molecule: ribosomal RNA, 399 nt
Filed under: Triticum aestivum (bread wheat)
Lineage: Eukaryota; Viridiplantae; Streptophyta; Magnoliopsida; Poales; Poaceae
Description: partial small subunit ribosomal RNA
Source: RNAcentral
AUGGAUGGCGCCCUAGCUUUGUGCCGCACCUCCUCUGAAUGUGUCACUACUUUAGAUGUUUGGGUGUUGCAGGACUAUGAUGCUGAAACCUGGGGCUUCAUGUACAAGAUUAACUUGUUAGCGAUGGAGGCAUCAACACUGCUUGAUUUGGGGAUCAAAUAUGUUCCUAGCAUGGCUGUGAUCAACGAGCGUGAGCUGUUGAUUGAGCAGUGUCCUAGCCGUCUCUUGCAUUGUGACAUUGAUGGAGUAUUUUUAGGAAACGUGGAAAGUGAAGAGCAUGAAAGCCACUUGACACUUACUAGGCAUCGCUUCCAGGAGAGCAUGAUUUCACUUUCAUUGUUUGAGACACAAAAACAAGAAGCUGUGAACAAGGAGCCUCUAUUUGCUAUUGUGCUAUAA